Molecule: ribosomal RNA, 424 nt
Filed under: uncultured bacterium
Lineage: Bacteria
Description: bacterial SSU rRNA
Rfam family: Bacterial small subunit ribosomal RNA
Source: RNAcentral
CGAGAAUUUUUCUCAAUGGGCGGAAGCCUGAAGGAGCGACGCCGCGUGGGGGAUGAAGGGCUUCGGUCCGUAAACCCCUGUCAUUUGCGAACAAACCUUAUGAUUGAACAUUUCAUGAGCUGAUUGUAGCGAAAGAGGAAGGGACGGCUAACUCUGUGCCAGCAGCCGCGGUAAUACAGAGGUCCCAAGCGUUGUUCGGAUUCACUGGGCGUAAAGGGUGCGCAGGUGGGCUGAUAAGUUCGAUGUGAAAGCCCCGGGCUUAACCCGGGAAUGGCAUUGGAAACUGUUGGUCUGGAGGGUUGGAGGGGGGACUGGAAUUCUUGGUGUAGCAGUGAAAUGCGUAGAUAUCAAGAGGAACACCAGUGGCGAAGGCGAGUCCCUGGACAAACCCUGACACUGAGGCACGAAAGCCAAGGGAGCAAAC